Molecule: ribosomal RNA, 640 nt
Filed under: Trichoderma sp.
Lineage: Eukaryota; Fungi; Ascomycota; Sordariomycetes; Hypocreales; Hypocreaceae
Description: SSU rRNA
Rfam family: Eukaryotic small subunit ribosomal RNA
Source: RNAcentral
UCAGCAGCCCCCGGUAAUUCCAGCUCCAAUAGCGUAUAUUAAAGUUGUUGUGGUUAAAAAGCUCGUAGUUGAACCUUGGGCCUGGCUGGCCGGUCCGCCUCACCGCGUGCACUGGUCCGGCCGGGCCUUUCCCUCUGCGGAACCCCAUGCCCUUCAAAAAGUGUGGCGGGGAAACAGGACUUUUACUUUGAAAAAAUUAGAGUGCUCAAGGCAGGCCUAUGCUCGAAUACAUUAGCAUGGAAUAAUAGAAUAGGACGUGUGGUUCUAUUUUGUUGGUUUCUAGGACCGCCGUAAUGAUUAAUAGGGACAGUCGGGGGCAUCAGUAUUCAAUUGUCAGAGGUGAAAUUCUUGGAUUUAUUGAAGACUAACUACUGCGAAAGCAUUUGCCAAGGAUGUUUUCAUUAAUCAGGAACGAAAGUUAGGGGAUCGAAGACGAUCAGAUACCGUCGUAGUCUUAACCAUAAACUAUGCCGACUAGGGAUCGGACGAUGUUACAUUUUUGACGCGUUCGGCACCUUACGAGAAAUCAAAGUGCUUGGGCUCCAGGGGGAGUAUGGUCGCAAGGCUGAAACUUAAAGAAAUUGACGGAAGGGCACCACCAGGGGUGGAGCCUGCGGCUUAAUUUGACCCAAACACGGGA